This 508-nucleotide ribosomal RNA is filed under the name uncultured bacterium. Its description in RNAcentral is "bacterial SSU rRNA". It matches the Rfam family "Bacterial small subunit ribosomal RNA", at positions 28 to 526 of the family's 1533-position model. The record is from RNAcentral.
GACGAACGCUGGCGGCGUGGAUUAGGCAUGCAAGUCGAACGGUAUCAUCCUUUCGGGGGUGAGAGAGUGGCGAACUGGUGAGUAACACGUAGGUUAUCUACCCUCAAGACGGGGACAACCCAGGGAAACUUGGGCUAAUACCGGAUGUGAGCAACUUUUAGUUGUUUGAAAGGUGGCGUAAGCUGUCGCUUGGGGAUGAGCCUGCGUCCUAUUAGUUAGUUGGUGAGGUAACGGCUCACCUAGGCAAUGAUAGGUAGGCGGCCUUAACGGGUGGUCGCCCACACUGGGAUUGAGAUACGGCCCAGACUCCUACGGGAGGCAGCAGUCGAGAAUAGUCUACAAUGGUCGGAAGACUGAUAGUGCGACGCCGCGUGAACGAUGAAUCCCUUCGGGGUGUAAAAGUUCUUUUAUAUGUGAGCAGUGCUUCUUAUAUUAACAGUAUGGGGAGAGAGAUAUUAGCAUAUGAAUAAGCAAAGGCUAACUCCGUGCCAGCAGCCGACGGUAAAAA